Molecule: long non-coding RNA, 3301 nt
Filed under: Homo sapiens (human)
Lineage: Eukaryota; Metazoa; Chordata; Mammalia; Primates; Hominidae
Description: non-protein coding lnc-TACR3-2:1
Source: RNAcentral
UUUUACAAGACUAAAAGAUUAUGAUGCAUCCACCAAUUACCUUCAGUUUUAUUGUUAUAAGAGGGGAAGAUGUUAUGAAAGUUUCAAUUAAUCUUUUGAGCACUAUAUUAGAGUAGUGGUUAUGCACUUGCAUUGCUUACAAACGAGCUGUACAGAAGGGUAUACCUCCCAAAUACUUAGUGUAGUUGACUUGUCUUGGGUUGCACUGUAAGGCAGAGUACUCAGAGUAGUUGGAAAAUGCAGAAUCAGUUGUAUAAUUUUUUUUUAUAAAAACGGUGUUUUUUAGGCUAAAGAAUAAAGUAUCAUAUCUUAGGAGGGGAAAAUUUAUAACUGACAUUUUUUCCCCAGCCCAAUAUGGGCUGUAUACGUUUUAUUGUUUCUUAAUUUUUUUCUUAUUUUUUCUGUAGGAAAAAAUCUUAAUAAAAACUACCCCAAUGUUUUAACUUCAUGUAUGAUAUUAAAUGGGUAGUUUUAACACUUGAAUAUGUUGAGGGCUUCUGCCUUGAGGCAGGGCUUGAUAUAUUUUUAAUUUACAAAGAAUUAAACAUAUUCAUAAAAGUGAGGCAUUUUAUCUCUUUUUAUUUUCUUUUCUCAUAGCCACCCAGUUGGACUAGUGGUCUUCCCCUGGUCCUUCAGUAAAAUGCUCCAUUGCUGCCAUUUCCAUUGUUGUUACUUGAUGCUUUCAUUCCUGAGAAGGCAGGGCUACAGUCUCUGGAAUUUCAUAAAUGCAUGACAUACCCCUCCCCCCACAACCUACACACAAAGGAUCUAAUGCUUCAUAGAACCUGUGCUACCUUUUCAUGUUGGAGUUGGUUUUCUUAUCACAGUCAGGGUUCUUAAGGCCGUCCCAUCAGGACAAAUAUUUACCUUCCAUUUUAUUUCUGUUUGUCCCAAUUAUAAAGACUAUUUUCAGUUUCAGGAGUAGAACAGGGUUUAGCAAAAAUAUGUAGAGUAUCAAAGUUACCUACUGCAACUUUUUGUUCUUUGUCCACUAGCCAGGUGAUUUAACCCACUAAAUCCAUUAGCUUGCUGAAAAAUGUUAGCAAAGUAAAUCACGAGAAGAAAGAUAAUUUGAGAAGAGAAAUGGUAUGGUACAAUGAAAGAAGCUGUAAAGAUUAGGAAAGACUAGUAAGUGAAUAUUUUUAAAAAUUUAGUUGUAGAUUUCAAUGGGAUACGAUAGGACAGAAAAGAUUUUUUAAAAAGCAGAAAGAGUGUUUCAUGGUGAAAGUACUGGGGGAGGGUGGACAAAGCAUGCACACAUGCCAAUUUGAAAAUCAAGUGUGACUUACCUCACGUAGAGUAUGAAUACAUGGUCCACAGUUAUGGUCAACAAGCGUUUUCAAGAAAAACUCAUGAUGUGUUACACCCAUCCAUAUUUAGAGAUGAGAAUUAAAUGAUUACAAGCUAAAAUGUGCUGUAUACUGUAUUAAUUUUGAGAUAGCUUUCUACUUGAUGUAUAUUUCUUUGAGGGUUUCUAUCUAGUUAGAAUUUCAGCUUCUGCUGUGGGACCAAUGAGAGCUGUAUGAGUUUUUUUUUUUUUUUCCUUUUCCAUUAUUUUAUUUUUUGUUUUUUGUUUACCAAUUUGCUAAUUAAUUACAAGUAAGUGAAAACUUACUUUCACACUUGAAUGAUAAGCUUGCCUUGCUCUUUGGAAAAUGAUGAUUGUUAUUACAGAAGUGAAACAAACUUCUAUUCAGGCUACAGUAGGCAUACAAUAACCUAAAGAUCUCAUAGAAGUAUACUGAGAGUCUAAAAUACAUUCUAGUAGUGCAUGUCUUGGUGUGCUUUUGUUUGUUUGCUUUCUAAAAGAACUAAUGAAUCUGUAUAUUGUAAACUGUGGUGUUUUACAUGUCAAUUCAUUUUUUUAAUGAAAGAAAAUUUGUUGAUUACUGAAAUGAGAAAGUGUAGCUUUUCAUUAAUUCUCUUAUGUUUUUUAUUCUUGAUAUUGUUCUUUUAUACCACCCACUUUUUAAUGUUUUUGGUUAAACUCCAUUUAUAUAAUGUAGGAUGCAUAUAAAGUUCUCAUUGGUGAUGUUGAAGAAAGAGAUGACUCUUCUGGCCUUUCUCUAGUUUUCUUCCUCAUAUGUCCCUGUACUGAGAACUUCUAAAGCUUAUCAUUAUAAACCUAAGGCAGUGAUUUGAAAGUUUACAUUUUUCAUGAUUUUCAAAUACCAAUGAAAUGUAACUUUUAAAUAUUCCUCACUGUGUGUUUUAUAUUCACUGUCAAGAAAAUUCAGAAUGUAGAUUGUGUGGACAGCUAUACACAACUUAAUAAUUAUAUAUCAGAUAAACUGAAUAAAAAACUUUGUAAGAGUGGUCUACGCACACAGGAUCUUGUCCUCCCUAGGCGUGGAUAGAGAGAUGCCAUAAUCUGCCAGCAUUUGGGGAGAUCAUGGUAAAUACUUGAGGCGUUGAUACAUAGUGCAGUGAGCCAAUUUCCUUUUCAGUUGUCACUCAGCACCAUAACAUCACGAAGAACAUCAUUAAUGCAAACCUCUCACUAAGCCUUCAGACCAAAGUGGCUUUCUGAUGGACUCUGCCUGUCUGUCUACAAGUGGAGUCAGAUUCAAAGUAGAAAUGUAUCCAUCCUUGGGAAAGAAAAUAGGAAGUCUUCCCCCACUGUAGGAGUAUAUAAAAAUGUCUCCUGGUUGCUUAAUUCCCAACACUCAAUUUCCUUCUUCUAAACACAUUUAUAAGGAGCAAGAGAUGGUGCACUUAUUAUGAAUUAAUAUUAAGCAAUCACUAAAAGAAAGGAAUAUUCUCUUCCUUUCAAUCAGAAACCCUGAUAUGUAAGUUGUGCAAUUAAUGCUAAAGCAUAUAAAGUCUUUAAGCUGAUAAGUAUCUGUAAUCAAAUAAUGAAAAAAGGAAAGCAGUUAAAUGAACACACUAUUCAGGGUCAAAUAUGUUCAGCAAAAAGCCGUAGCGGGUCUUUGAUCAUGGUUAGAUUCACAGUGAUAUCAAACAGUUGGUUCUCAUGUAACAGCUAAAUGUUUCAGUUUUUUUUUUUUUAUUAAAUUUGGCAUUUCACACUGAGAUCUGUAUUCCUAGUGAAUAAAAGACAGCUACUAUAUUAGGAGGGAUUCCAUUUUCACAAUUGCAAAACAGAUAUUUCAGGAACAUGGGCCACAAAAUGUACUCCUUUCACAGUGUUCUCCUCUUCUGAACUGUGCAGUUAUCUAUUAAAUUUUCUAAUAGAUAUUUGUGUAAGGUGUAUGUAUGCUUGUGCAAUUAUUUAAAAAACGGUUUUGGAAAACAGUGUAUUUAUUAAAGAAAAUUACUUAUGGGGCAUGUACAAAACUGU